Long non-coding RNA from Neofelis nebulosa (Clouded leopard), 3106 nucleotides. RefSeq lists it as uncharacterized. The transcript has 2 exons. Lineage: Eukaryota; Metazoa; Chordata; Mammalia; Carnivora; Felidae. The record is from RefSeq and is a predicted model, not a curated record.
UUUUUUGAAAGAGGGCACAAGUGAGUGAAGAGCAGAGAGGGAGAGACAGAGAGAAAGAGAGAGAAGCGGGCUCGCCAGCGGCUUGUGUUUUUUACCUGAAGCAGGACACAAGCUCAUCUGACAUGGGACUCGCACUCACCAACUAUGAGAUCAUGACCUGAGCUCAAGUCAUAUGCUUAAUGACUGAGCCACCCAGGCACCCUGUUUAUGGUUUUUAAGGAGAUUUAGAGAGAACAAAUGAAAUGAGGAGACCUAAAUGAUUCCUCUGUAAAACAGAAAUAUUUAAGAUAUCUGGGGCAUCUGAGUGGCUCAUCAGUAGAGCAUUUGACUUUGGUUCAGGUCAUGAUCUCAUGGUUCCCUGAGUUUGAGCCCCCCAUCAGGCUCUCUACUGUCAGCACAGAGCCCGCUUUGGAUCUUCUGUCCCCCUUCUUUUUGUCCCUCCCCCACUCACACACCCUCUCUCUCAAAAAUAAGCAUUAAAAAAAAGUGGGGGGUGGGGAGUGCCUGGGUGGCUCAGCUGGUUAAGUGUCCAACUCUUGGUUUCAGCUGAGGUCAUGAUCUCACACAACUUGUGGGUUCGAGCCCUGUGUCAGGCUCUGUGCUGACAGCGUGGGGCCUGCCUGGGAUUCUGUAUCCCUGUCUCUCUCUGCCCCUCCACCCUCAUGCUCACUCACUUUCUCUCAGAAAUAAACAUUAAAAAAAAAAAAAAUUAGAAAAAUUUUUUUUAAAAAUCAGCAAAAAACAAGGGAAAAUACUUGUUACUUUGAUAUAGUAAGUCACUUGACAGUUUUCAUUUCACAUAUUUAAACAAAGUCAAUGCUUUCUGAUUAAGUACAUCAGUAUAAUUUUGUUAUUAACAAUGUUUAGUAAAAUGUGAACUACCUCAACCAUGUCCAGCAUCUAAAAUAAUUAAAAAAAAAUUUUUCCGUUUCAGGUCAUUUGAGAAGACCAAAGGGAGAAGGCAAAUAGAACAUAAAUUUCAAUGAGAAAAAAGAAGAGAAAAUCAAGAGCACCCAACUCGGCUCCCCCCAUAUACAGAGUAUCUAACAAAGAAAAAGAGAGACAGAGACAACAGUGUGAGCAGGGAAGGGGCAGAGAGGGAGACACAGAAUCUGAAGCAGGCUCCAGGCUCUGAGCUCCAAGCUGUCAGCCCAGAGCCCGAUUUGGGGCUUGAACCCAAGAACUGCAACCGCAAGAUCAUGACCUGACCUGAGCUGAAGUUGGACGCUUAACUGACUGAGCCACGAGGUGCCCCGCAUUUAUAUUUUUCUUUUUUGUUUUUUUACAUUUAUUUUUGAGACAGAGAGAGACAGAGCACAAGUGGGGGAGGGGCAGAGAGAGAAGGAGACAGAAUCCGAAGCAGGCUCCAGGCUCUGAGCUGUCAGCACAGAGCCCGACGCGGGGCUCAAACUCACAAACCAUGAGAUCAUGACCUGAGCCGAAGUCGGGCACUUAUCCGACUGAGCCACCCAGGUGCGCCCCUGUACUUUUCUUAAAUCAAAUGUUUAUAAUUGAAAUAGUAGAGACUAAGUUCUUUUGUCCACUAAAAAAACAGAUGACCAGUGGAAAAAAUAGUAUGAGAACUUUAUUUACCUGUGUACGAAGACUUAAAAGACAUAUUUUGCCAGAGUUGAUCACUUGCCGUACAGAAUCUAUGCUGGUUCCAUACAGAUUCUUCUCAAAUUCACCAUGUUCAAUGAACUUUCCAGCUGCUAUGUCUGCCUCAAAUGCUUGCCGUGAAACAAAGUGGUAAUCUCUACCAGCUACUUCGUGGUCUCGCCUACUCCGAGUUGUAUCUAGGCAAACAAAAUCAGGUAAAAAUAAGGGGCAUGGAUCAGAGUAAAGAUGGGGGAUAUUUCUGCUAGUCAGGAAAAAUUUUAAUUUUGUAAUACAGAGGAAAUGUAAAAUGACGAACUGAGGAAAUGUUAAGAGCCCAUGUGUUUAACACUGACUGGUUUUAUUUCUAGACUGAGAAAUGAACAAAAAUGUGGUUUUAGUAUCUUAAUAAUAGUUACAUUUAAUUGCCGUAACACAUUUUAGGCUUACACUUUAAAUUGCUUCUUGCAUUUAAACACUACCAUUUUUUUCCUAAAGUUUAUUUCCAUAAGAUUAGGCACUGUGUAAUAUUUAUUCACUUACUUACCUAUUUAUUAUUUACUUAUACUAUUUAAUUUUAAGAUACAGCAUUUUUUAAACGUUUAUUCAUUUUUGAGAGAGACAGAGCACGAGUAGGGGAGGGGCAGAGAGGAGACACAGAAUCCAAAGCAGUCUCCAGGCUCUGAGUUGUCAGCAUAGAGCCCGAUGUAGGGCAAGAUCAUGACCUGAGCCGAAGUCAGACACUUAACCAACUGAGCCACCCAGGCGCCCCUAGGUACUAUAAAAUCUUUAAACAGAACUUCUGUGUUCAGACAUUCAGUCUACAUUUCUAUCUUCUGCAUCAGUUUAAAAAACAGAAACUGAUUCCAUAUUGAAUAGGGAAUCGUAAGAAACCCAAAUUGAAAUUCAUUUAGAAAAUAAUUAGUACCACAGGAAAAAUGGAAAUUUCUCAAUAAUGACUAUCUUGAGUUACAUAUUCUCAAAAGAUUUGAUUAAAACAAAGUUCCUUUUUUCUGGGCAAAACUAUUUUUGAUGAACUGGAUGAAAAAUUUCCCUCCAGUUAGGUUCUAAGAUAGAAAAUUGAAAAGCACAGGAAAAUGAGAAUGCAUCCAAACUUACGAGGAACCGCAGAUGCAAAGCGGUCUUUUUCCUUGUUCAUGAGCCUCUGACGCAAUUCAUUCUGGCCACAGUUCUGUGGACCAAUCAGAAUGAUAGGUCUUUUCCUAUUUGCUGGCUGAUGAUAAAGUGACAUUUCCUCAUAAGUUAAGAUCUCUUCAUUGUCAUAAUCUUUGAAAAAGAAAAAGUUAAGCCCUUCAGAUAGAAUUAUUGCCAUGUAAUAAAAAUGUACUCAAAUUUUCCAAAAAAUUGGAGAGAAGACACUUUAUUAUCAUUAAAAAUGCUUAGCUUUUUGGAUGAAGAUAGUAAUAACUGGGUAGGAUUAUAUGAAUAUUUUCCAAUGUGAAUAUAUACUUCCCAGGAUACUACGAAAAUAAAUCAGACAAUAUACUGA